GGUCCCAUGGUAUAGUGGCUAGUGCUCUGGACUCCAAUGCCAGCGAUCCAAGUUCAAACCCCGGUGAGACUC
RNAcentral lists this transfer RNA (72 nucleotides) under Dipodomys ordii (Ord's kangaroo rat). It matches the Rfam family "tRNA". Rfam says of the family: Transfer RNA (tRNA) molecules are approximately 80 nucleotides in length. Their secondary structure includes four short double-helical elements and three loops (D, anti-codon, and T loops). The record is from Rfam by way of RNAcentral. Lineage: Eukaryota; Metazoa; Chordata; Mammalia; Rodentia; Heteromyidae.